This is a long non-coding RNA of Columba livia (rock pigeon), 22232 nucleotides long. RefSeq lists it as uncharacterized. The record is from RefSeq and is a predicted model, not a curated record. The transcript is spliced from 3 exons. Lineage: Eukaryota; Metazoa; Chordata; Aves; Columbiformes; Columbidae.
AUCCAGCUUGUGUAUUCAGCUGCUGUAAGCUUCAGUAGCUGCCCUGCCUCAAACCCUGCAUGGGCAUUCUCUUUUUUCCCCUCUGCCUGCCAAUAUAUAUCAUAUCCAGCUGCCUUGCUAGGUGGUGCAAGGCAUAACUCCUUCACAUUUUUCAAUUAAAUCGAUUUCAAAGCUUUAUUUAAUGGAAUAAAUACACCUUAUUGCUACUUCCUGACUUAAGGCACUCAUGAGAAAAUAUUACUCUCGUCUGGAAAUUAAAUCUCAUGCCCUGGAAUUUACGUCACGAAAGAUACAGUCUGUGCCUUCAGCAGCCUGAUGGACUAGAACACAGGCAGCCCAGCUCUUCAGCAAACAUCAGGGCUGCUGCUGAAACUGCUCAGCGCUGUUUGUAGCAAAGCUGCUUGGAAAGUUAGGAAAUUUGUCUAGAGAAGAUGGACUGUCUUUACUUUCUGGCUAUUGUGAAGCUUUGGGGAAGCCAGUCCUGGGCAGUUUUCCUGCACAUUUCCCCCCAUUUUGGGCCUGUUUUAUGAGCAAGCCCCCGAGCAGCUGUUUGGUUGCCAAGAAUAAGUGUUAGCAAGAAGUGUUACUCCUGAGUGCUCAGUCACACAGCACUGAGCGCCUGUGGCAAAAAAUAGCUUUUUGUAGAUUGCUCGAGUUACAAAGAGGAAGCUGAAUUCCCUGAGGCUCUUGUAGGAGGGGGUAAAAAAAGACUUUUUUGUCCAACUAUGUCAUACUCACGCAGUCAUGCCAAAGCAUGAUGGUGUGCUGUUCUUGCUUUUCAGAGGCCUCCAAAUUGAUUGCUUUUCUUCCGAGAACAAGCUAUCUGACAGAUAUAGUGAUUAAUGACAUUGCAGACUUUCCCUGCUCCCUGCAGGUCCAGCCUUCAUCAGCAAGAAUGAGGCAGCUGCUAGCAUGGGGCUGGGAUUUCUUCCCGAAACUUGCCAGAUCCAGAAACAGGAUUUGUGUAUGUGUGUUUUGGUUGGUUGGUUUGUUUGUUUGUUUUCACUCUGUGCAAUUUUUCUUUAAUGGAGACUGUCAUUUGUAAUUGAGACUAUCACACUGAAAUGUGAGGAUAGUGCAGAAGUGUAUGUAAUUUAGCUAAUUCUGAGCAUGUUCAUUCCCCUUGUGAACACAGACAGCAUUUUUAGCAGUCCUACACAGUGCUUUCUAGCCAGCAACAUUCUGCUAUAAAAGCAAAGUUAACAUCCAUCACUUCUCGUGACUGGAACAGGCUGCCCAGGGAGGUUGUGGAGUCUCCUUCUCUGGAGACAUUCAAAACCCACCUGGACAUGUUCCUGUGCCACCUCACCUAGGCAUUCCUGCUCCAGCAGGGGGAUUGGACUAGAUGAUCUUUUGAGGUCCCUUCCAAUCCCAAACAUACUGUGAUACUGUGACUGCUUAUCUCUUGGCUGGUGCUACAGAGCAUCCAAAACACUCUGUCAAAACUAGAGUCUCCUUGUGCCAGAUCCUGUACAAACACCUUGGCUGGGUUAGUCUAACCAGAGGAAACACACAGAAGUAGAGACUGAUUUUUGUGAGUGCUGGGUCCAAGCAAAUGCAGCUGGGGAACAUGGUUAAAUAGUUUGCAUGAGAUUGUACAUGCACAAGCCCUGGAGUUGAAACUACCUCCUGGUUUCUGAAUACUCACAGAGUGAGGUUUCCAGCUGGAUGAAUGAAACCACAAGGCAGAGGAAGGAUGGUGGAAACUGCAUCACCUCCUUCAGCCCGGGCUGUCUCUGCUGUCCUUAGCAGUGUUGUCCUUAUGUGGCACACUGGCCCAGCGGAAACUUUAUCAUUUUUUUUAAAGUGUUGUUGCAUAAGUUGUGGUUUGCAUCCUGUGAAUUGGAUGUGUGGCCUUUGUAUAAGCAGUUGAAUACACCUGUUGCUGUAGGUAACUGAAUUUGAUUUGGCUGACUUUGAUGUUGGUAAAAUGACAGGCAUUUUCUACACCAUGUGCAAAAGAACAGCACAGAUAAAGUAGCUGAGCCAACAACUUUUCGUGGACUUAUUACCACUCUGGUAUUUAUGACCCAGCAGUGUUUUCUUUAUGAGAGCCCCACAGGGUGCAGAUUUUACACCUUGGUCAAGGUUUCAGUGUAUUUUAGAUUUCAAAGAAGUGGUCUUCUAACUCUAUUUCUGCACUGGCUGCAUAAAAGUUGUUUGUUACUAAGUCAUCAAAAGGAGAAUUAAGAUAACUCACAUACAUUAUAAAUUCAUCUUGAAAUACCUUGGAAGUUCUGCAAAAGGCAGAAAUCUUGGGGCAGGUAGAAGGAUCAUGGCUAUGUCUUCAAGGAUUGAUGACAUUAAAAAAAAAGCUUAUUUUAGCUGUCACAAAAUAAUUGAGAAGCUUCUGAAAUAUUUUUUCAGCUUUUACUCUUGUGUGUUGAGUGUGAAACAGCUCCUCUUAUUAGCAGUUACCUUUUCUCAUAAAUAAAUCUUUAAACUCUCCAAGACCUGUUUGCCAUAUAUACAUGAUAGUGCCUUGUUUGCUGUUUAAACAGCACACUGAUGAGAUGGUAGUUACUUUACUGUCACUAACGAAGUACUUACUUCAUCUGGGAGAUAACUUGUUUAUUUUCUCUGACUUAAUUUUUCAGAUAAGUUGAGUUUAAACCGAGGUCACUUGAUUUUACUUUUUUAAACCAUGGUUGAUUCAACAAGAUUGCAAUCAUUGGCCCUUUUUUACAUAACCAAUUCCCAGUCUUGUUCUGAUUAAGCUGUGAUUUAAGCAGAUCGUCAGUCUGCCAAGCAAAUCCAGGUAGGUAUGUUUAUCAAAUUGUAACCCUGGCAUAAGUGACCUUAACCCAACUAAGUGAGCUUAGUUGGCCAGUCUUCAAUAGCCUUGAUACAAAAAGCCCAUUUAUUAAAACAGGUGUUUGUGUGUAUAUAUAUAGAAUGGGAAAUCCAGCAUUUUAGAAGUCUAGGAAAUUAGUAACGUUUUGGGUGGAUGCUGAAGGAGUCUCAGUGUGUUUAGAGAAGUGAUUAAAUUCCUUGGCCUCCUUAAAAUAGUGCAUGCAGCUUUUCAUUUGUGUACCAUUAUGGAUCCUCUAAUCAAGAAAACACAAGCCUGAUAUUUGUACACACAAGCUAGGAAGCAGAAAUAUAAAAAUAGCUGCAGGUCUUUGUGGAGAACUGAAAUCAUACCAGUUCCUCCAGCCUUGUGGCUGGUUUGGUUGCUUGUGGCUCCUGGGGCUGGUUGGUAGGACAUCAAGUUAUGGAUGGUUCUCGUAUUCCACGGGGCGACAAAAUACUGACUAGAAAAUGAUCAUAUUAAAAACCUCCAGUUCCUUGUAUGUAGGCAUAUGUUUUUCUGAGACACUCAAGUUACUUGAUUUAGGGCAGAAAUCUUGCUUUUGAGCAAGAAUCACUGCUCCCAAAGCAGAGCACCCCAGUCCCCCAGGUUGUCCCCAGGUGCCAUCAGUGCCCGGGGCACACAGGAGGGACAGUCUCACUUCCAGAAGCAAAGCUGCGGCCAUACUGAGCUGGCCUGAGGCUCAGAGGUGCAAAGGGGCUUGGAGGGGCAUGUUUUUAUUAUGGAACAUUUAUUUGUGUUAUGCAGUCAUUUUGCAAUAUUGGCAAAGGUUGGCAGAGAAAGGGAAGCGCUGAGUGUCACAGUAUCACAGCAUCACACAGUAUCACAGUAUUACAGUAUGUUUGGGAUUGGAAGGGAGCUCAAAAGAUCAUCUAGUCCAAUCCCCCUGCUGGAGCAGGAACGCCUAGGUGAGGUGGCACAGGAACACGUCCAGGUGGGUUUUGAAUGUCUCCAGAGAAGGAGACUCCACAACCUCCCUGGGCAGCCUGUUCCAGUGCUCUGUCACCCAACUAAACUGAACUGAACUAGUUCAGUUUGGUCCAGCAGAGUGUGAUUAGCAUUUUCAGAGCUGGGCUUGCCAGAUGCCUGGAUUUCAAGCAUUCAGUUUAAAUUGCAGUCUGAGACCACUGGAAAUCCAGGGAAGUCUGGUUCAUAGCAAUUGCUGAAACCUCUUUGCUACUGUGCUCAAAAUCUCACAUCUUCUCCCCGUCCACACUAGCCAGGGAGCAUUUCUGAAUUAUAUCCUUCUUACAGAGCUGGAAAGAGCCAGAUAUCCCCCAGCAAUGUGCUUUUUUCAUACUUUGACACCUAUUGGGUAAAUGAAGGGUAAUGGGGCAAUCAGUACAGUCACAGCUGUAUGUAUGCUUUGCUCGGAUGGCCCUGUUGGAAGACACUUGCAAGCAUCACCCUGUAUUGAAGAGUGAAUGGCUGCGCCCUGACAACUCUGAUGGUCUUCUGUGAUGGACUUUGGAGCAACCAAAAGUGACUUAAACAGGACUCUGACACCCAAAUAAUGCUAAGUGAUAAGAAAAAUUGUGGCAAGUGAAGUUAGUCUAGAAUGUGACAACAUUCCCUGACUCCAUAGCAAAAUAUUUCACAAAGCAGCCUCUCUCACACAUUAAAAAUACAGGGACUUUAAUAUUGUAAGGUUAAACAAGUUUGUGCAGUCCCUGAUCACAUAAGAACAUUUCAAUCCAAGUUCUCCAUUAUAGUAGAAUAGGAUCUAUAUGAAAGAACCAAAUAUCUAUCUAGAGAUUUCUUUAGGACACUUGGAAGCAGGGGCAUGGGGGAAUUCAGCAGAAAGCAGAAUUUGUCAGAAGUUUGGGAAAGCAAAAUAAAACAAAAGCUUUAGCCCCAAACCCCACAUCCUUAAAAGAGCAAAAAAACACUUUAAAAUGGGAACUCCUGUCUUUAAUUCUAUGUAGUUAAGUGAUGAGAUGUCUUCUCUUUUAGUCUUUGCAGUGAACUCAGUGCUGGGGGUUAGAUAGCCAAGUGCAUCUGGUCAGGGGAUGCUCUUUUAGGAAAAGGAGUAUAGAGUUGGAUGAAGUGGAUACAGAAAUAAGGAAGCCUGACAUAGCCUGGACAAGCACAGCAGUAUAACUCUGAAACAAGUCUGAAUAAGACUUAGAAACCAAGCUUCCCUAGUUGGGACGGGCUUUGGAUCUUGGAGCUGGAAAAGUGUAUCUGAUGUAUAAUAGUUUGUGGAGAGAAAAUUAAACUCUCAGCUAUAAUUUUCUUACUCCUUAAUGAACUUCUCAGAGAGAUGAGAUAUGAGCAUGUGCGGCAUGCAGAGUGCAAGUGAGGGGCAUAAAGAUAUGUGUUCAAGAACUCAGUAUUCUAAUUUGUACAUUGGUUGAGAGACUUGGUAAAAUAGAAUAAGUGGGUAUAUUAUUCAAUUAUGACUGUACCAUUUGAAAUACAAUUGGAAAAUGAAUAAUUAAUAUCUCAUAGGACUGGCUAAGUUCAGAGGAAAAAACUUCAAAUAUUUUCAAGAUCCUAUAACAGUUUAAAUAAUAGACGACUACAUGUUAUGGUGAUUCCACCUCCCAUCCCUAACUCCAUAAUACAUUUGGAGUAUGUAUGAAUUUUCUUAAAGUGCAAAUAUUCUAAAAGAAAGCAUGGUGAAAUAAAUAUUAUAAUUGGAAAUCUACACGAGUGGCUUGCUGUAGGCCAACAAGAAAUGGAGAGUAAAUUUUCCAUGAAACAACACAGUGAACUUCUCCCAUGCUGCAUCAGUGAUAUCCCCCAAAAAAAUGGUGGUAGCAUAAACAAAGUAUGCUGCUUACAAACGGUUAUAGGGCUGUACAUAGUCAUGUUAUGUGGAUACAUAAUAUGCGGAGAUAGGACUAUUUUCUUUGCCAAAAUGCUUUUCCUUCCUUGUGUGGAGUAGCUGUACUCAUUUUUUUUUUUAUGUGGACAAGUGCAAAGUAUCCAUCUUCAGCUUAACAAACAGAUGUCCCAGUGGAAGCUUUUACCUGUUAAACUUGCAGUGUUUUUGGGGUGGCUUUCUAUGUCUGGCAGCUGCUUCUGCUGCACAACAGUGCUGUUCAGCACAUACCAGGUAUGGCCAGGGACGGUUGCCCUGACAAUUCGUUCCUGAUGAGUCAGACUUGUUGUCUAGGCAACUGCCUUCAGCUCUGGCUGGAGAACGAUGUGUUAAGACCAUAGUCUGAAAACAGCAAGGCCUCCAAGGGCGGUCUCAUCACACUUAAGGCUCUUCUAAACAAUCUUUACAGGCAUGUGCUGUGAAGAUGCAGUCUGGGUACAUGAGGGGGAAUAUGGUGUCAAUGAGAAAUGUCAUUAUUUGCUGCAAUGGAGAGUUGCUGCCUCCUCCACAGCACGGGGAUGUGGGGGACAGAUCUGGUGCCCGGGCACAGGCUCCAAAUCCCCACGAGAAGAUGCAAAAGGUGGAGUGGGAACAGCGGGUGCCCUCUCGUGCAGAUGUCUGCAAUUUCACUAAAUGAUGCAAAAUCGUAACUCUUUCCCUACUGUUAAAAUUUCCCUGCUGGGCAGAACAACCUUUCAUAACGUUCAGCACAGACAGUGCCUGGAGAGAAGAGUGUUUAGGAAUAGCUGUGCCUGACUGGUGGUGGUGCUGUCACUUACUCCUGAACAUUGCCAGAAUGAAAGGCUCCAGUCCCAGUCUUGGGGCCAUCCUGGUGUAAGAGAAGAUGAUAGAGGGCACAAACAGAUUUCCUUUUUCUUCUUGGAUAUGUACAUCUUCAACAAGGUUUCAAAUAGACUAGCUCCUUGUAAUAGCGUGGUGGCAAAGUUGCUCAUUCAGAAUUCCAUUCAACCAGCUCUGACAUGAGAACCUAAUUGCACAUAUUUGAGUGCACAUCUGAGCAGCUUCUAAAUAGCAUCAGCCAGGACUACUGAACCCAGAACAUUUACAGGGAGUGUAUACGUGUAGAUGUUGAUCUUUGAUAACUCUGGUUAGCUUUAACUAUAUACCAGUGUGCUGAAUUGGAAAAGUAAUCAAUUCAAGAAUUUGUGUAAAUGAUGAAAAAUAUUACCCUCUCCUGAAUCCCUAGCUGUGGUGAGGGUGUCUUUUCUAGACAUGUGCUUUGCAUGUGAGGAUGCAACUGUGGGGACUGCGCGUGGUUUAUACUUGGGAACUUAGGAACAAUGGUGUGAAACAGAAGUGCUAGGGAAUAGAAUAUAAUCAAAAUUGGUUUGGUUUUGUUUUCUAGUAGAGCAAAGACCAUUGCUUCUGUCUAGUUUUCCUUGGAAGUCUGUGAAGUCUGCAUGUAUGAGGGUUGUAGAUGUUAACUACUAAAAUUAUAUGAAGCUUCUUCCUUACAGUGUUGAAUUUUAUAGGUUGGUAUACACAAUAUAAAAUCUAUCUACUGCUAGACACAGUAACAAUUUCUCUGUCAAUACAGACAGAUGAAAUACAUUUUCUUUAAACACACAGAAAUGGUCACCUGAGACCUCUGAGACAGAGCAGCUUUCUGUUGCAGUGCUUCAACCAGAGCCAUCAACAAUCUUGACAGUUCCAGUUUCUUGUUGAAAUUGAAGUGUUUUCUGGGAAUAGAUGAAUUACUGCUAAUAAUCUUGACAGAAUGCUGUCAAAACAUCUUGUUUUGAUUUAUAUGGAAUAUAGAAUGCGAGUCAAAACAAAUCACUGGUGCUUGAAACAAUGUAUUUUGGAGUACUAAAUUUAAUGUUCUCAAUUCUCAAUUCUAAAACAAGUUCUUAGCAAAGAAUCUGGAGUUUCUGACAUAGAAAACUGUUCCUAAUCAAUUCAGUUCAUAGUUUCCUUUCCUCUUCAACUUAUAUUUUAGCAAAGUAUAGCCAAGUUAUAUAAAGAAAUACUUAAAAUGGUGAUUAUUGAUGUUUGUAAAAUCUCUAUAUGAAUAUACUAUUUGCUCUAUAUUUAAAGCCUUAAAAUAUAUUGUGUAUUUUAAUUGAUGCUGAGGGAAAAUGCUGUAUGUGCAUUGCAGUUGGGGCGAAUAAACACUUCAUGCUUUUCUUGGUCCCAUCUACCAAAACUUUUGUAGGUGCUAAACAGGAACGUGCUAUGCUUGAGAUACUGAGAAAGACUUUCAUUCUGCUUGCCAAAUACUUCAAAUUCUACUGGAUUUUUAAAAGAGAAGGUGAAAACCAAAUGCUUCGGCUCAUUGAAUUGAGUCAAGGUCCACAGGAGAACAUUGUUUAUUUCCCUGGGCUGAGAAUGAGGCAUUUUGUGAUUAUUUGCCUUCAGCCUAUGAACAAAGAUCUAGAAACACCUGGCUCUUACUUUUUUUUUUUUCUUUUUUAAAUCUCCGUGAGAAACAAGAAUUAUUUAUGGCAGCAUUUAAUUGUAACUAUAUACAAGAUUUAUUCAGUACCUUUACAGUUACUUAUCUUUUUUAGGCUUUCUUUAUGUGACAUCUUUGCAUCUGUAAAUAUCCCAAUUGUGUUUCUGUGAACUGCGAAGCUCCUUUAGCACUUCAAGACUCCUCAUAAUGGCAGCUAAAGAAGCCAAGCUAGUAGCUGUGCAAAUACAUGUAAAAAUCACUGUAGCUCACACAUGAGAUUGGCAGGCAUGACAGGGCAGGUAUUAUCAACACAUUUCCUGAUAUUUAGCAUGUAGGCAAAUGCAUCCAAACUUGCAUUCCUGCUGGCAUUAAAUGGCUGAGGGAGCUAUUUUGGACCACUUCUACAAACACUCUGAAACUCUAUGUGCUAAGGAUUACUAGAGCUAGUUGUUGUAAUCAUAGAACCCGUUAUUAUUCACAUUGCUUUUCCCACUUCAUUGCUUUACAGCUUUAUUUACUUUCUACUUUGUAGUUUUCUAUAGCUGUAAUGAGCAUUUUGGUUUUCUUGGUUAGUGUCAGUUUAAAUUAUUCUAGCAGAAAGCUUCCUAUGUAAAGACAAGUUAGGUGUAGAAGCGUAAUUUGUUGGAUGUAGUAGGCUAACAACUAAGUCAAGUUACAAGGUGUGAUUCAAGGAAUUUGCGGUAUAUGAAGUGGAAGAAGAAAAUAUUCUAAAAUCCAGUCAACACUUCAAGGCAACUAUCACUUGUGUUGUCUGCACAUACAUAUUGCAAGACAUUGGUUUAGCAACUAAUGUAACAGGGAAGGUAGUCUGCAUUCCCUUAAAAAUUAAGAUGUUAACACCUCUAUUAGUAGAGAAGAAAAUGCGGUGCCAGUUUUCUGUUUGAAGACUAGAUACCAUGCUGAAAUACACAAAAUAAUUAAUAUCCCUAUUUUGAAUCUUCUGAUGUCUCUAAGUCUUCCAAUAGUGCCCCAGCUUAAAGUAGAAAAAUCUCCUUAAUUUUCCAGUUGAAAUAAACAGCACUGUUCAGCGUAGCACCAAAGUGCUCCCAGAAAGUGUUUAGCUGGAACAUUUGCCACUCUUUCCAGCAAAAUUUGCUUUCAUGACACAGUCAAGAGCUAGUUGAGGGUGUCAGUAAGUAAACUAUCAGGCAGCUUCGUGCUUACAAGUUUAUGGCAGAUCUGUCUGUAAAGGACAGUGAAUGGAAACCCACACUUUUGGUGGGAGGGAGGACGAGGGGAAGGUAGGAGGGAAGGAAGGAAGGAAAAGCUGCUGUGGGGUCAAGAAGUGGCACUCUUCUUGUCAGCUGCACUGAGUCCAUAUUCUGGCAUUUGGAAGGGGCUGUAAUGUUUUACUUGGGAUUCUAGGUGAUUAUUCUGAAUAAAUAAUAAGUCCUCUGUGUGUCUUUAACUGUUAAAAGCAACAUUUUGUCCAAACUUCAGCUCAUGUAAUUGAAAGAGGACUUUUUUUUUAAGAAAGCAUACUAUUUUUAUAUAAAUACUUGCUCUCAAAAGAUUUGAGGGGAGUUACCAAGGUCUGUUUUCCUCUCUGAUUUGGUAAAAACAGAGAACCCUACAUAUGGCAAGCUUUUCUCUUUCCUCCCAUUUUCAGUGUGUCCUUAAGUCUCAAACUAUUUUCUAGUACAAGAACUACUAGUCAGCAAAUGAAGCUAGUGGGAGAUGUGAUCAAAACAAGGCAAAGUAAGUGGUUUUUCACACAGCAGGUGACAGACAUGGAGCUGCUUGCCAAAGCAAGCUGUGGAUGCAAAAGCUUUUUAUAUGGAUUCAAGGAGAUUUGACUCAGGAAAUUCCCUGAAAUGAAAAUAUUUAGAAGCUGGAAGAGAGAGCAUCCUUCUUUUAAGGCAUGUACCUGCCUUAUUAAUUAGUUUCCCUGGUUGUCCACAUAUUGCUUCUGCUGCAGACAGAAUACUGAGCUCUGUCUGAGUCUGCACCACUCUUCUGCUGUUCUCACUGUAUUUUGCACUUCACACUGUUAGUGCUCCUGUGGCUUUUAUGGAAACAGAAUAACACCCCAGAGGUAGCUGCAUGGCAGCUUUUGCUGAUGUAAUCCCUUUGAGAUGAAAAGAGCUCUACACAUAACUAUACAGUAAUGUCCUAACCUAGCAUUUCUGAUGAGACAGUGAAAUGAUUUAGAGACCACUAGAUACGAAAAACAUUCAGCAGUUUUCUUACAGCCUUCCACACUUAAGGCAACAAGUGUUAUAUUCUAUAGCUCAUAAAAUUCGCACUGAAAUUAUAGUUGAAACUGGUAAGACUCUUACCUGGAAAUCUCUGGGUAGACAAUAGAAGGUGCCCAUUCUCCAGACAUAAAUAAAGAGCCAAAAAACCUGUCAGAGCUGGGGAAGACAUAUGGAAAGCAUGUACAGAGAGUUAUUCUGCAGCACUGGGUAAUGUGUCUCCUUUCUAGCUCCUUGGGUUUUUUAAAGGCCCUCCAUGAGCUCCCUCACUCCCAGCUGAUUAUUCCAGUGUCAGCAAGUAAUGGUCACAAGGUGGAGGCAGAACUUAUCAUCCCAGAGAAGGAAAGACUCCUUUCUUUCUCUGUCCCUUUGACUUGUAGCCUGGCCUCAGACCAGGAAGGCGCUCACUUUGUACUUCAGCGCAACUCCAGAGGAAUUCAAUAGCCCUGUAUUUGGAUUUACAGAAUUACAGAACUGCUUGUAGCCCAGCAGGACCGAGUCUGCAAGACUGUGCACCAUCCAUGGUUGUUUCCCACUCACCUGAACGGAUGUCUAAGAAGUAUUUUUUUGUCUUAAGUAUCUUUGAUUAAUUGUUUGUGUCAUACAUAGAUAAAAUAAGUUAAUGAUACAUGUGGCCUGGCCUUGUUUUCCUGUCUCUUGCAUAUAAAUAGGGAUGAAUGCAAGCAGACAAAAAAAAAAAAAAUAGGAGUUGUUCCUUCAUCUUGAGGGUACAUUGUAGAAAAAAGUACCUGGGCUCCCCUUUCACCUCCAUCUGCUCUUGACUUGAGUUCUUAAUGACAUUUAAUCAAUGAGUGUGUUUGCCUGCCAAAGAAUUAGCAAACUUUCUGCAUAAACUGCUCUUCAUCACACAGCAUAUGUGCUAUGUUGACCCUGCCAGUGGAAGCCACACAGAGCAUAACAGAAAAAAAGACAGGGGAAUAGAUCGUGGUGUGGGUGCAUAGGCAGGGUGGGGGAAGAGGUUGUUGGGUUUUUUUUUAAGAUUUAUAUCUUAAAGCACUUUAUACUUUUAUACUGUUGUUGCAGUAUCUCUGCCAGCAAUUAGCACACAUGCCUCCCUCAGGAAUAAUAAGAAAUAAAAAGCUGUGAGGCCAAUAGGAUUGUCAGUCAAGAAAUCCAGUAUGUGAGGGCAUUUUCCUACUUGCUGUUACGCUGACUAAAUGCAAAAGGCUCAUUUUUGGAUGGCCACCCAGUCAUGUAAAGUUACCCAGUUUUGCUUUUAUAUUUCAGUACUGUUUUUUCUUUCUUCAGGGUUCAUUUGCUGCUUUCAAACAGUACCUGUACUUCAAAUACAUCAGUGAUUUGAGUACCUUUCUCGAAAAAAAAACAGAACAUCUGCCAAAUUAAUGAUAUAUUAGUGUUGCAAUUUGGUGCAUUCAGUUAUGCCUGGGAAGAAAUUGAAUACCUUCUAUGUUAUUAGUUGUAAUACCCUAAUUCCUUGGCAGUAAAAAAUAUAUAUAUUUAUAUACAUAUAAUAAAAAACCAUAUAUAAAAAACCAAAAAUACCAAACCAUCUUUACAUGUUUCAUCAGCCAGUCCUCCUUUAAAGCUGUGGUUGAUCUUCUUUCUAGAGACAUGCUUGUUUUUUUCUUAAGACUGGGAGAGGGGAUUAGUUACCCAAAACUACUUUUAAAAUGAAAAUGUUGGACUGACCUCAUUAUAUCAGCAGAGAGAGAUUAGAGGGGUUUUUUAAAGGAUAUGUCAGAAAUUAUGGUGGGUUGUUUCUUUGUGUGUGUUGUGGUGGUGUGUGAUUAAGUGAUGUAGAUAUAAUGUAUGCUCUCACAAAAGUAAUAUUCCACUGCCUUGAUGCCAUAUAAUGAAUCUUGGUGUAAAAUUUAGGCUCAGUUCUCAGCCAUCUCAGAGAAAAGCUCUGAUUCUCCUGUGUUUUAAAAACUUGCCUAGGGCUGGCAGCAGAGAGCACUGCACUCGGUGGGCAGAUUGGGAGGGCUCUUCCAUCUAAUGGGGAGGGGAACCAGUGAAGUAUGUGGGUCCUGAAAAUAAGAUGUAAUAAAAUGCAAUGUUUCCACAAUGGGAAAGUGGGGAGGUACCCAGGACUCGUGCGUCCCAAGGACACCUGUGGGCAUGGCAACAGUGGUGAGCAAAGAGAACCGGUUUCUGAGUAGCCAUCCCUGCUUCUUGUCUGACAGCAGGGUGCCUCUGUGUCUGUGUCUCACAGUGUUUAGCUCAAAUAACCACCCACAUAAGCAUGAGGAUUUGUAUGCUCACAUACUCCUAUCAGCUCUGCAAGCUUAAAUAAACACUGAAACAUGUUCAGUGAUAGAGCAACACUGCUGUGCUCUGUUAGUGACAGAGCAGUAGUUUUACCAGUGGACCACUGGUUGCUCUCUAUAAUCAGUGAAAUUCAACUCACUUUCUCUAUGCAGCAACUUGUGUGUGCUACUUCAUUUGCAUUGCAGACAACCAUGAAAAUGACCUUUUUUAAUUGAAAAAGAACCAUUUUAUAGUCAAGUUCAAUUAACUUAAUCUGACAAAGGCAUCUGCUCUGAUUUGAUAGUAAUGACAAUUUUACAAAUUCAUCAGUAACGUUAUCCCAGUGUGUGUGGUUUUUCUUUUUUUCCCUGGUUAUAAAGCACAUGCAAUAAGUGUUUGCUAGUAGAGAGAAGCCUGAGGAGCUGAAGAGUAUCUGUUCAUGAUCAAACUAGGGCAUCAAAGCAGAGACAAUGUCUGAAAUACAGCUGGUGUCACCAGGCAGGUGAUUGAAAUGGACUUCUGUGUUGUAGCAAGUAAAGAUGUAGGCCUAGCUCACCACAGCAAUUAAACUUGUUUCUGACCUGAUAGGCCUUAAAUCAUGUGAGUUAGGGUGUUCCUAAAUUAGGAUCAAAACAGAUAAAAUGCCCAAGUGUUACUGACGUUGAUUAAGCAAACAGCAAUCAGAUUGCCAGUAUGUUGCAGCUCUGAUUUUAAUGUUUUCUAGACAAAUAACAAUAUGUGGUAGCUGAGUAUCUGUCUCUUCAUAUCAUUCUGCAGUAACACAGAUGUUUACUGCAGGGCUAUUCUGCAAUCAAGUGCCCUUAGAGCUGACCAUGCUUUAUCAUGCUCCUUAAAUGAAUCACAGCUGAGCUGGUCAAGUCCAAUACUAUUUCUUAGGAAGUGGCUGACUGAUUCUGUCUUUGUUUGUAUGAAGAGGAGGAAAAAAAUACAAAUCUGUUCUCAGGUGUUAACUGACUGAGGUGGAAAAACACUGCUAAGAGGGAGAGUUACAGUGGGACACACACACAGAAGGAUGGGGCAGAAAUGGGAGUGAAGAGAAUGGGAAGAAGAGGAUGAUAAAUAGCUGAAGACAGCAAGAAGCCUGACCUGAGGGAGGCUGAAAUGAAUUUGGAGAAGCUGGAGAAAACAGGGAGAGGUUCGGUCAAAACUAAUUUCUGACAGGUAUUCUCUGAUAUCUUCCUGGUCAUUUUUUCGGGGGGUGUGUGUGGGGAGGGGGUUGUCUGUUUAUUUUGUUAUAUUUUUCUAUAGGAACUGAGCUGGCUUUGUUCCCUGUCUGGUCAAUGCUGUCUCAUGCUCCCAUGUAUCCCCAGGUGCAGACCCUGUCACGCCCUUUCUCCAGGGUAGCAGCACUUGUUCAACCGCCUGUUGUAGCGAGAUCGCUGGUUGCACUUUCCGGCUGUAAAAUUGUAACUGGGAAUUAGGGUCCCAUUUAAAAAAAAGGCAUAUGAGAGUCUGUCACUUGAAUGCAUUUGAAUGUGAAUUAAAAUUCUCAUAACAAAGUAAUCCAUUGCAGGAGGUGUUCAUGACAGACUUCAGCUCUGUAUAUCUGCUAUAGGUUGAUUAAUUUUUUCAAUAGUCAAUCUACAGUAAAAACCUGCCCAAGUCAGACCACCAUUCUCUGGAUGUCUUCUUAGAAACAGACCCUUAUAAACAUGAUGCUUUUGCUGAAGUUUUCUAAAUUCUUCCCUUAAAAAUCCAAAUUCACUAAUUAUUUCCUAAGUUAUCAGAGCCAAAUUUCAGCAUUAUAGGUUGACUGUCUUGGAGCUUGCUUAAUCCAGUCAAUAAAGAAGUUAGCAUUUUUAUCAUUGCCAUUCAAUCCAGAAUAUAAAUGUGAAUACACUUUCAUAGUAUUGUACCUAUCUCAAAGGAUUUGAAAUUAUUCACUGAGGUCAGAUUUCAGUACUCAGUGAAACUUCCAUUCUGUAAAUGUCAGUGGUGUUUCUCUUUGAAUAGAGUUGCAACUUAAGCAUGCUUGCAGUAAUUUGCUUUCUAGUCCUUUUAUGCUAAAUAAGGUAAUUGAAAUUCUUCUUUCUUUAGUCUGAAAAUAUUUUCAAUAAAACAAAUGUAUUCUCUGUUGAGAUUUUUGUUAUCACAAAUGUGUUCAGAGGUACUGAUUUGAUCAGGAAAAGCAUCACCAAUUACAAUCUUAUAAUCUAGUGUCCUUACCAAACAUGAGUGGUGUUAUCUGUGUUGUUAUUUAGGAAACUAUUUCCGCCAAUUUUUUUAUUUUCAAAUUCAGAUGUAGUUGGAGUAAGAAAGUGAGCAUGGGGUUAUGUGGGGCACUACGCAUUGUUUUGACCCUUAGCAUCCUUGUCUCUGACUUAUUUCACUUCUCUUUUUAGUUUAGUUGCCUUAUACUUUGUGUAACUAAAUGUCAUUCAGAUUCUGACCUGUUUCUCAGGGUCUUCACAAUGGACUAAGUCAUUGCAGAAGGCAAGAAACCAUAUGAAUAACAUCUUAUGGUUCACUGUAAUUUUCUGCAUAAAGUUUCUGUGUAAACUGCUCAGUCAACAGGAAGGAGAAUGUUCUACCAAAUGCACAGGGAGGCCACUUUAUUAAAAAUAUUUGUGCACAUGCACAAAGGAAGCCAAGCAUACAUGUGAGAGGAAAACAAACUUUGUCCCUGGGGGAAAAAAUAUAGACAAAGUGGUUUUGUAGGCAAAUAGGCUUUAGGGUGGCCAUGUGCUUUUUAACUAUCUCUGAAGGACCUUGAGAGCUUUAAUGUCUGGAAAGAAACUGAAAGGUGUAACACAUAAAAUGUUUAUGAUAAAAGGGGAGCAGGUGUUUUUUCUCUCUUGGUAAUUCAUUAUUAAUGUUUUCAUGGCUGGAGAAGGUAGAGCACUUUUUUUUUUUUUUCCUUCUCUUUAUAACUUGGGGAAUUUUAGUACAUGGUAAACAAUGGGUUUUCCAUUCCAGCGAACAAGCUGUUCUGAGCUCUCAAGCUGUAGCUUUUAGCCCAUUAGAUUGAACGCUGCUGGAGUGAUGGAUGCUGCAGCCACCAUUCAGUGUUGGCAGUCUGGUGUGUCUCCAUGCUUCAUUAGUCAGUGAAAUCAGCUUGAAAGGCAGCAGUUGUCUUGACAGAAGCACUGAGAGAGGUUACUUGUCAUGUGUUGGGUUUUUUAUGCAGUAAACGUUUGGCUCCCAGGGAGUGACAGUUGUCUGGAGCCUGAAGGAAAGGAGGUGGAAGAAAGAGUGAACAUUUAGCCAAGAGGUGUGGGAAAUGCCUCACAGUAAAGAGCAAACAGGAUUUGGUUCUGCUGGCCCAAGCCUACUUAACCACAGGCAGGAUUUCAAGAGCAUGUAGGAGCUGCGCAAAUGGAACUCUGACCUUGCUUUCUGAGCAGCUGAGUGCCUGCCUUUCCUCACCAUACCAACUAGCUAUGAGAUAGCACUGUGAUUAAAUAAGAUGAUGAUUUGAAAUAUUCUCAGUACAGCUCCUGCACCAGACACCAACUGGUGCUGGUGGUUGGGCUACCUGAGGAACCGACUCAAAUUCUGCAUCCUUUAGAGCAGGCAGUGUCCCAUGCCCACUACUCCUUGGCCUUUUUUAAGGAAAGACUGCUCUGUCCCAGUGUCUGUGAACUCAGUAUCAGCUCUGAUGACAAGAAGCUAUGAUAACAGUUUGGUCUUGUUGCAGAUAAGGCAAACUGUGUUCUGGGGUGCGUUAGGAGGAACAUAGCCAAGCAGACCAGGGGAGGCAUCUAUCCUCACCUCCUUGGCACUGGUGAGACAGCACCUGGAGUGCUGGAUCCAGCUCUAAAGAAGGUGAUCCCUUGCUAGCUGUCCCUGGCAGUGGCUGCAGUCUCUCUGCUUUUAUAUGCUUUGCAGUGGGUUCUGUUGCUUGCACUGGGCUGGAGAAGCACAAGAUUGUUUUGCGGGUUAUGUGAAGUGCUUUGUUUCCUGGCUAGCUGCUGCUUUUUGAUCUUCAUUCCCUACCUGUUUCCACUUCAAGUGUUCCAUAGAGACUUUCAGCUAGCUCCCAAGAGCUCAAGCUCAGAUGCUGCAAACUGUUGUUUAAAAACAACCAAAAAAGACUCCCUGGGUUCAGUCCCUGUGUGGAGUCCUUGCUGUUAGAUACUUCAUGGCAGAAGGCACAUCUGCAGUAUAAGCACGACAGCAGAUAUAACACACUAAUUAAAGCAACUCUUCAAGUGAUGUCUCUCUAAAUUACACUCUUGGGUAACUGACUCUUUAUUGUUGUUAUACUUUCUCCAUAACAUCUCCUCAAAAGAGAACUUCCUUUUGCCUUUUUUUUUCAAGAAGAAUGAUUCUUUUGUGGAUUGGCAGGCACUAAAUUAGAAAUAGUUCUUGUCCAUGUUCUAAUAGAAAAUCACCUAUUACUAAUAAAGUUCCCUAAGGUGCCUGGAUUUCAUAAGCCUACCAAGCAGCGUGAAAUAUUUGGGAAGCAGUAAAUGGGAGGGAAGGCAGUUAUGGUCUCUUAAGUGAAAGAACUUAAUGGAUGACUACAAGGAAAAUGGGAGAAGGAGUGGGUGAUGCAAGGAGUCAGGCAUUGCUAACUAGACAUCCUCUGUCCAGGAGAAACGCCUGCUAACCAUGUCUGAACAACGUCACUCCUUUUCUGUCCUCCCCAUUGUCCUAGAUGUGCAUUCUGUGUUGUUGAAUACAAAAAUACUCUAUCCAAUGUGGGGGUUUUGUUGCUGUAUUUUGGGUUUUGUUGUCUUGGUUGGUUUUGUGGCAUUUUGUUUGUUUGUCUUUUCUAGCGUAAAGUCAUCUAAAGACAUUUAAACUGGUUUUAAACUGGUCUGAAAUGGUAGCAGUAAGAAUGAAACCAACAGUAUAAAGCUAAGGAAUCAGAAAAUUCAGGAUUUUUUUUUUUAUUUUGGUAAAGUUCGGAUCUAUUGUAGUAAUUCAGGAAUAUAAUUACCUCAAGUACCAUGACCAGAUCCAUAAUGGAACAUCUAAGAAGUAGUACCGAGUACCUACAAUAGGCUAAAUGACUGCUCAGCAUUGGGAUGUUUUCCCUUGCACAAUAUUUUUGUAUCUUCGAUGGGUUUAUGCCAGUGAGGUGAGGAGCUUUCUCAGUCUUCAUCAGCCUCAUCAGGAGUUUGGGUUGCUUAGCAGCUGUUGGAGUGGUCUACAGCUCUGACACAGUAUUUUCAUGCACCACAGCAUGACUACUUUUUACAGUAGUUUUGGAGCAGUGAGUAACACUGCAGUUAGGCUUGAGAAGCUUUAGAGACUGAGAAACACAUAGGCUCAAGUCCAGGUCGGUCAUCAUCUGAAUGAGAACAGGAGUUGCCUUCAGCUUUGAGUGUAGUUAUGAGAGACUUAUAGCUCAAGGGGCAAUUCAGUCUGCCUAAGAAUUAUCCCCCAGCUCAGAUCCCUUGAGCCACAUGAACACAGGUGGGAUGAAUCCAAGUUGCAGCUAAUAAUGCUCAAGCCUCCCUUGAUCCUUACCUUGCUUAGUUUUCUGAAUCAACAUGUUCUGUUUAUUGACCUACCUUUUCUAUCUUCCUAUCGCUAUUAUAAAAAUAUUGACUGCGUGAAGUGGGGAUUACAGCUCUCCAUCUGUUUUACCCACAGCCCAACACAAUGGGAGCAAAGCUUGUCUGUGCGCUGUUGUGAGUGGCUCUGAAGACACAAGUGACUGAACUAAAAAAGCAUCUGUCUUUUGGGUUCUUUGUCUUGAUCCUGUCAAUUAUUUUAUUAGAUCCCUAAACAAGUUAAGUACUCCAGACGUGGUGCUAGUCCCAAGUGUCCUUUUCCAACAGGGUUUUGCUACAUCGCGAGCCUACUUCAGCUGCUUGCUUUCUUCAAACAGUUCACGAUCAUAUUAUGAAGAGCAACAUUCUGAAACCUUAAGUAAAAACCUCUUCAGCUAAGGAAAGCUCCUGAAUCUCUUCAGGACUUGAAGGCAAUUUUAGUAAUUUGUGCUAGAAACACUCAAGUGAAGACAGCCUAAUACGUUAUACCAGAAAGCAUCUGAAUAACACCGCAUACAAGAAAGCACCUGAAAGCCUGCAUAGUACAGCAUCCUGGUUUAAAACAAGGAAGAUAGCUUGUGGCAAUGCUAGACUUGAGCUAAAAAAAGCUGCAAAGCUGUCACAGGCAACAAAAGAUGAUCAGGCAACAGACUUCCUUGAACACGUGCCUUGUAAGGGCAGCUGGAAAUGGCAGCUAUAAAGCCAUGCUGUUUGGUGGCAGUUUGACUAAAUUUUGUUUGCUUCUAUAGCCUUCUCAUGGUUAUAAAGGUUAAUACAGGCAGUUCACAGUGACUCAAGACAACUGCUAACAGAGGAACAGCAAAAACAUCCAGAGGAGCUGGGGGACAAUUACUUUAGAGGAUAUUUGACAGGAUGAGCCCUUGUGCAGGGAACAGGAGCGACCUGCAGACAGACACCAGGUUUACAAACAGACCUUGGAAACUACAAAAUUGUAAGUUUCCAGUGCUUGAGUUCUAGCUGAAUUGGCUCCUGGAGAAAACAAGUUCAUAUCUCAUAUGUCCAAACCUAGCUGUGUAACAUUUAUUGCUCACAGUGGCAGCUGCCUGGAAGUAAGGCUUUGAACAAAAGCUGGCUCUUUUGUAUCUCUUUUGCACAAAUUUGACUCACAAUCUUAUGAUUUGUACGUGGAUGUUACAGGCCACAGCCUGUCAGUGUUGUCACCCUUUGUCAGCGCAAAAUCUGUUAAGCACAAAUAAAAACCCUCACUGGAAAGAACUGAUCUUCCCUGCAAAACUCUUCAGGCCUGGCUUGCCUCUGGCUUGGAGGGGUUCACAUGAACAGCACUCUCCUUCCUCAGAUCUACUAAUAAUCUUUUUUCAUCAGUAUCAAGUAAUGUUUUCAACCCUUUGUGUUGCAGAAAUGCCAUAAGGACUGCUUUCCUAAAGAACAACCAAAAAGUGCUGUGUUGCUCACUAGUAAUGUAGCCACAGGUCAUUAAGGGCUGCCACCCUUCACAGCAAUACGAAGAGCCAAAGGUGGUAAAGAAGCAGUGCCAAAGCUGUAGCAACAUCACGUUACAUUUUAGACCAUUCAUGAAUUUGUUUCCCUUUGUGAUUAUUUAAUAAAAAUUCAGGAAUGGGACAGUAUUUGUCUGACAGGUUUGUUUCUGUGUGUGCUGUGCUCCUAAAGCACAGUAAAAAGCAAAGACUUUUCAGCUUUCAACCCCUAGCUUUGGCAAGGAGUAAUUUAAAGAGCAGUGUGUUUCGGUAGACUUGAAGCUUAGCACUAGGUGGAAUUACAAAAUCCAAGAAAGGUCUUGGGACAGCAUGAUGGAGUGAGGAACAGGAGAUUUUGGUAAAAGUGUGCAUUUUGUUCUUGUGUGGUUUAUGGGCAGUGUUUAUUCAAAAGCAAUUCUGAAACGAAUACCAGUAAUAGUUUUUGUCCUUUGGUUUGAAAUGGUUAUUUAGUAUUCAGAUACACAUUAAGUUUCAGGUUCUUGUUAUUGUUGUUGUUGUUGUUUAGUUUUUAAAUUCGAAUGGAACAUCUAUUUGUAGAUUUUGGGGGGUUUGCUCUAGAUAUAUUUCUAAGUAAGAAAAAGCAUCUGACUUUUAAUUUUUUUUAGUUUUGUUCUGUGAAUCCGUUUCAGUAUGACAAACAAAGGACUAUGAAAUUAAAAAAAAAAAAAAUUGCUUUGAACUUCAAAUUAUUAAGAGAAAAACAAUUUGGAAACUCUCAAGAACCGGAGAUACUAUUACUUUGUAGUUCAAGUUCACUUUUCUUUUAUUGUGAGGUGCAAGACUUGAUAAUGGCAGUUAAGAAUCUUUAUCAGAAGGAUAUGCAGAAAUUUCUGGGGGGCAGCUACACCUUAAUGUGCUCAAAGAAAUUCCACCUUAUUGCCUUCAAAAUGAAGGAUGAUGCUUCAGUAACACCAACUGCCAGCCCAGGCUCUGAAAAGGGAGAAAUAUCGCCAUCUUGAGGUUACUGUUCUGCAUGGUGACUAAGAUGAGGUAAUGCGAGAAAUAAUGAGCUAUAGUUAAUUAAAAUUAAAAUAUAUGAAGUUCUACUUGAAAGACUCUGAUGGAAUACAAAAAUAAAGUUACUGCAAAAGAGAAAUUUUUCUUUUUCUUUAGAUGUACCCUUUUCUUCUAAAGAAAAAAAAGUUGAUGAAUAGCAUUUGUCAGGCUGUCAGAAUCCUAUUAAAAUAGUAAGUGUUCUUCUGUUAAAUAGAAGGAAAAAAAUUCAGAUGAUAUGUUAAACAUAUUUCUUAAUUUUAAGACAGCCUAACUACUACUUUUGCCUUCAUAUAAAAGUUCUGCAUUCAUUUUUACAGGUGUAACACCACCGUAGAUUCAAGUUCUUAGUAAUUGUUAACGUGUCAUUUUGUGUGUUUUGACUGUACAAGUUGUUUCUUUUUUUUUGAGAACUGUAACUGUGUGUAAAUUACACUAUGCCAAGAGCCACAUACAGAAAAACUUGCUAAAUUCUACUUUUUAUCAUCCUAACACAGACCUAUUACAUAUAUUUAGGGCUUAUCUAAGCUGAGGUGACAGGGGAAUGUAUUCUGAAAUGUAUGCUUAUUCCUAAUCCUUAAGGUUAUUGAAUUGAAUGAUUCAAGAUCUAGGUGGACAAAUAGAAAAAAAGUUGAAUUUCAGCCCUUAAAAAGCCCUCGAAUUUCAGCACAAUGUUAUGGGAGUUGAAGUCCAACAGAAUUUCACAAUACUUAAGCAGCAGGCUUUUAGUGCUUACUGCCAAACAAAAAUAAAAUAUCAUCUGGGAGCAAUUUUAUAACUCUUGUGUUCUUGACCUGGUCACUGGCUUUCUGAUUAACUUUGGACCUGUUGCUGAGUGCCUGCAUUCUAGCUGCUUUGCCCAUAAAAGAGGUGAUAUGUAAAGUGAAAUGCACAAAUGCUAUGAAAUCCGCAGAUCGUGGAAAAUACUCUCAGAAAGCUGCUUUGCUGUGUAGAUACCAAUAGCAGUAACUGGCAGGACGUUCAGAGCAGCUGGGGAAGGCAGGGUGUCCCAGCCUGCUCUGUGCUGGUUCUCUGGCACACCUCGCUGCAGGUCUCUGAUUGUGGAAAAAGUGCCGACUGCACGGCCCUCAAAACCACAUCUGCCGUGCUAGUGGGCGCUGUUGAUGUUAUGCCGUGGUAUCUUCUUAGCUUUAGGGGAAAUCUGUAUUUCUGCGGUUAUGGCUGUGUGCAUACUUUGUACUGUGUUUACAGUUUUAUUUUUUAUGGGCUAAGCUACAAAAAUAGUAUCUCGGCUUCGAGACAUAUUCUAUGGGAAAAAAUCUAUGGAUAUACAGAAACUGUAUUGGAUUUCACAAUGGAAGAGCUUUUUUCCUUCCUUCUGUUCUGCAUCCCCCGGACUUGCACAUGUUAACUACAGUGAUUUUUAUUUUUAAUGAGGAACGGAUUUCUUCAGUCUCCCAUUUAGUACUUCUUUUUCUGGUUUUGUUUGUUUUUUUAAAAAGUAGGUCAAUAAUAGCGCUCAAAAUAGAAGCUUCACGAGUCUUCAUUUCCAAAGGUUUAGGGUUGUUUCAGGUCAGGGUAGAGGUCUGACUAGUCCAGUAAUUUUUUUGACAGCAGCCAGUAGAAGAUGCAAAGGGAACAGUGUGAGAAGCAGCCAAGAAUAUUUCACCACCUAUUUUUUCCACUCAGAUUAUCAAGUCUAAUAUUAAAAGAGCAAUGUGGACAUACUCACGUGUUUAUCUAUAUUCACAUACACAAGACUUUGUUGCUGGGUUAAAGAAACAACUCAGCUGUGCCAAGAAUCAACCUCCUGGCAUGUAAUUCAAAGAAAAACA